CCCUACGGGAGGCAGCAGUGGGGAAUAUUGGGCAAUGGGCGCAAGCCUGACCCAGCAACGCCGCGUGAAGGAUGAAGGCUUUCGGGUUGUAAACUUCUUUGAUCGGGGACGAAAUUGACGGUACCCGAGGAACAAGCCACGGCUAACUACGUGCCAGCAGCCGCGGUAAUACGUAGGUGGCGAGCGUUAUCCGGAAUUACUGGGCGUAAAGGGCGCGUAGGCGGGAAAACAAGUCAGGAGUGAAAUCCCAGGGCUUAACGCUGGAGCUGCUUCUGAAACUGUUUUUCUUGAGUGUCGGAGAGGAAAGUGGAAUUCCCAGUGUAGCGGUGAAAUGCGUAGAGAUUGGGAGGAACACCAGUGGCGAAGGCGGCUUUCUGGACGAUAACUGACGCUGAGGCGCGAAAGCGUGGGGAGCAAACAGGAUUAGAUACCCCGGUAGUCCG
This 443-nucleotide ribosomal RNA is filed under the name uncultured Clostridium sp. RNAcentral's name for it is "bacterial SSU rRNA". It matches the Rfam family "Bacterial small subunit ribosomal RNA", at positions 337 to 797 of the family's 1533-position model. The record is from RNAcentral. Lineage: Bacteria; Bacillati; Bacillota; Clostridia; Eubacteriales; Clostridiaceae.